CCCUGGUUAGCUCAGUCGGUAGAGCGCUCCACUGGAAAUGGAGAGGUCCCGGGUUCGAUACCCGGACCAGGCG
RNAcentral lists this transfer RNA (73 nucleotides) under Ixodes scapularis (black-legged tick). RNAcentral describes it as "tRNA-Ser". It matches the Rfam family "tRNA". Rfam says of the family: Transfer RNA (tRNA) molecules are approximately 80 nucleotides in length. Their secondary structure includes four short double-helical elements and three loops (D, anti-codon, and T loops). The record is from RNAcentral. Lineage: Eukaryota; Metazoa; Arthropoda; Arachnida; Ixodida; Ixodidae.